GCAGGCCUAAGACAUGCAAGUGCGAACGGUAACAGGAAGCAGCUUGCUGCUUUGCUGACGAGUGGCGGACGGGUGAGUAAUGUCUGGGAAACUGCCCGAUGGAGGGGGAUAACUACUGGAAACGGUAGCUAAUACCGCAUAAUGUCGCAAGACCAAAGAGGGGGACCUUCGGGCCUCUUGCCAUCGGAUGUGCCCAGAUGGGAUUAGCUUGUUGGUGAGGUAACGGCUCACCAAGGCGACGAUCCCUAGCUGGUCUGAGAGGAUGACCAGCCACACUGGAACUGAGACACGGUCCAGACUCCUACGGGAGGCAGCAGUGGGGAAUAUUGCACAAUGGGCGCAAGCCUGAUGCAGCCAUGCCGCGUGUAUGAAGAAGGCCUUCGGGUUGUAAAGUACUUUCAGCGGGGAGGAAGGGGUUAAGGUUAAUAACCUUAGCCAUUGACGUUACCCGCAGAAGAAGCACCGGCUAACUCCGUGCCAGCAGCCGCGGUAAUACGGAGGGUGCAAGCGUUAAUCGGAAUUACUGGGCGUAAAGCGCACGCAGGCGGUCUGUCAAGUCGGAUGUGAAAUCCCCGGGCUCAACCUGGGAACUGCAUUCGAAACUGGCAGGCUUGAGUCUCGUAGAGGGGGGUAGAAUUCCAGGUGUAGCGGUGAAAUGCGUAGAGAUCUGGAGGAAUACCGGUGGCGAAGGCGGCCCCCUGGACGAAGACUGACGCUCAGGUGCGAAAGCGUGGGGAGCAAACAGGAUUAGAUACCCUGGUAGUCCACGCCGUAAACGAUGUCUAUUUGGAGGUUGUGCCCUUGAGGCGUGGCUUCCGGAGCUAACGCGUUAAAUAGACCGCCUGGGGAGUACGGCCGCAAGGUUAAAACUCAAAUGAAUUGACGGGGGCCCGCACAAGCGGUGGAGCAUGUGGUUUAAUUCGAUGCAACGCGAAGAACCUUACCUGGUCUUGACAUCCACAGAACUUGCAGAGAUGCCUGGCCUUCGGACUGUGAGAACAGUGCUGCAUGCUGUCGUCAGCUCGUGU
RNAcentral lists this ribosomal RNA (1028 nucleotides) under Citrobacter amalonaticus. RNAcentral describes it as "bacterial SSU rRNA". It matches the Rfam family "Bacterial small subunit ribosomal RNA", at positions 42 to 1065 of the family's 1533-position model. The record is from RNAcentral. Lineage: Bacteria; Pseudomonadati; Pseudomonadota; Gammaproteobacteria; Enterobacterales; Enterobacteriaceae.